This 465-nucleotide ribosomal RNA is filed under the name Vreelandella stevensii. RNAcentral describes it as "partial 16S ribosomal RNA". It matches the Rfam family "Bacterial small subunit ribosomal RNA", at positions 338 to 795 of the family's 1533-position model. Lineage: Bacteria; Pseudomonadati; Pseudomonadota; Gammaproteobacteria; Oceanospirillales; Halomonadaceae. The record is from RNAcentral.
CCUACGGGUGGCAGCAGUGGGGAAUAUUGGACAAUGGGCGAAAGCCUGAUCCAGCCAUGCCGCGUGUGUGAAGAAGGCCUUCGGGUUGUAAAGCACUUUCAGUGGGGAAGAAAGCCUUGGGGCUAAUACCCUCGAGGAAGGACAUCACCCACAGAAGAAGCACCGGCUAACUCCGUGCCAGCAGCCGCGGUAACACGGAGGGUGCGAGCGUUAAUCGGAAUUACUGGGCGUAAAGCGCGCGUAGGCGGUCUGAUAAGCCGGUUGUGAAAGCCCCGGGCUCAACCUGGGAACGGCAUCCGGAACUGUCAGGCUAGAGUGCAGGAGAGGAAGGUAGAAUUCCCGGUGUAGCGGUGAAAUGCGUAGAGAUCGGGAGGAAUACCAGUGGCGAAGGCGGCCUUCUGGACUGACACUGACGCUGAGGUGCGAAAGCGUGGGUAGCAAACAGGAUUAGAUACCCGAGUAGUC